Molecule: ribosomal RNA, 421 nt
Filed under: uncultured bacterium
Lineage: Bacteria
Description: partial 16S ribosomal RNA
Rfam family: Bacterial small subunit ribosomal RNA
Source: RNAcentral
AAUAUUGGACAAUGGUGGCAACCCUGCUCCAGCCAUGCCGCGUCUGUGAAGAAGGCCUUCGGAUAGUAAAGCACUUUAAGUUGGGCGGAAGGACAGAACGUUAAUACCUUGCUCUUUUGACGUCACUGACAGAAUAAGCACCGGCUAACUUCGUGCCAGCAGCCGCGGUAAUACGAAGGGUGCAAGCGUUAAUCGGAAUUACUGGGCGUAAAGCGCGCGUAGGUGGUUUGUUAAGUUGGAAGUGAAAGCCCCGGGCUCAACCUGGGAACUGCUUUCAAAACUGGCAAGCUAGAGUAUGGCAGAGGGUGGUGGAAUUUCCUGUGUAGCGGUGAAAUGCGUAGAUAUAGGAAGGAACACCAGUGGCGAAGGCGACUACCUGGACUGAUACUGACACUGAGGUGCGAAAGCGUGGGGAGCAAAC